CAGCAGCCACGGGAAUACGGAGGGUGCAAGCGUUAAUCGGAAUUACUGGGCGUAAAGCGUGCGUAGGCGGCUUUUUAAGUCGGAUGUGAAAUCCCUGAGCUUAACUUAGGAAUUGCAUUCGAUACUGGGAAGCUAGAGUAUGGGAGAGGAUGGUAGAAUUCCAGGUGUAGCGGUGAAAUGCGUAGAGAUCUGGAGGAAUACCGAUGGCGAAGGCAGCCAUCUGGCCUAAUACUGACGCUGAGGUACGAAAGCAUGGGGAGCAAACAGGAUUAGAUACCCGAGUAGUCCCUGUCUCUUAUAC
Molecule: ribosomal RNA, 301 nt
Filed under: uncultured bacterium
Lineage: Bacteria
Description: partial 16S ribosomal RNA
Rfam family: Bacterial small subunit ribosomal RNA
Source: RNAcentral